Non-coding RNA from Triticum urartu, 915 nucleotides. Lineage: Eukaryota; Viridiplantae; Streptophyta; Magnoliopsida; Poales; Poaceae. The record is from RefSeq and is a predicted model, not a curated record.
UGCAUCGUGUGUGUGACUGGCGGUAGGGUAGGUUUUGCAGGCCCAUGUGGCGCUGCAGAUAGCUUUAUAUUUAUUUCCACGCGAUGCUCAGAUUUUUCCGGCUGGUUAGAUCUCUCAUCCCCUUCUCGCGGUGGCUGGACGGGGCGAAGAUUCGCCAUGGAUGGCCUGGAGUUCUUCGAGGAAGCCAAAUCAGGCUUGGGCUGUAAGAUGUUCUGGCAAAACACGUGCUGAAAUGUUGGACCAGGGAUGCGAGGGAUAUACUCCCACCAGAGCUUCUGCGCUGCUAGAAGAACCAAGGUCCUCUCAAGAACUCUUCGUGGUGACAUAACAAUCUGCAUCUGUUGUGUCUCAAAAUUAUCAGACUAGAUGACAUCAAUGAGAAUGCAUAUACUCUUGCUAUGGAGCAACUGAGAAAUGUGAAAAAAUAGUACUGGAACCUGUGGCGGCUAUACGCGAUGGUAUGGGGCUAUCCGACAGAGAAGUGGCAACUGAUUCUGCAGGAUUUGGUGUUGGGCAUAAACAACAUUUUGGUCUAGCAAUCCGGCGCAGAGUGCCUCACAAUGUUCAGAUAGUUUUGCGACACUGUCGAAGAAGAGGCCAGCAGGGCGGCCUACCCAAGCUGCAACAAAGCACCGUAGGAAUAGCAAGCUAAAAGGACUAGGUUCUGUUCUACAUGCAGGGUUCAAGAUCACAAGAGUACUGCAUGUCCGCAGCGGGGUGAUCUUCCAAAGGCGCUUGCUGCUCCAGAUGCAGCUUGAGAGGGCACAGGAAGAACAUAUGCACCAACCCCCCGAAAGCGGACUUGAAUGAUUGAUUUAGUGUGUUUUAAGUUGAUAUUCAGACUACAGACUCAAAAUAUCAUAAGUUUGUCUUUUGAAAAGAACACAACAUAUAUCUGUGGUGGUUUGUGUGUCA